This 404-nucleotide ribosomal RNA is filed under the name Brucella melitensis. Its description in RNAcentral is "partial 16S ribosomal RNA". It matches the Rfam family "Bacterial small subunit ribosomal RNA", at positions 355 to 776 of the family's 1533-position model. Lineage: Bacteria; Pseudomonadati; Pseudomonadota; Alphaproteobacteria; Hyphomicrobiales; Brucellaceae. The record is from RNAcentral. RNAcentral also lists the same sequence under 1 other name.
UGGGGAAUAUUGGACAAUGGGCGCAAGCCUGAUCCAGCCAUGCCGCGUGAGUGAUGAAGGCCCUAGGGUUGUAAAGCUCUUUCACCGGUGAAGAUAAUGACGGUAACCGGAGAAGAAGCCCCGGCUAACUUCGUGCCAGCAGCCGCGGUAAUACGAAGGGGGCUAGCGUUGUUCGGAUUUACUGGGCGUAAAGCGCACGUAGGCGGACUUUUAAGUCAGGGGUGAAAUCCCGGGGCUCAACCCCGGAACUGCCUUUGAUACUGGAAGUCUUGAGUAUGGUAGAGGUGAGUGGAAUUCCGAGUGUAGAGGUGAAAUUCGUAGAUAUUCGGAGGAACACCAGUGGCGAAGGCGGCACACUGGACCAUUACUGACGCUGAGGUGCGAAAGCGUGGGGAGCAAACAGG